This 874-nucleotide ribosomal RNA is filed under the name uncultured soil bacterium. Its description in RNAcentral is "SSU rRNA". It matches the Rfam family "Bacterial small subunit ribosomal RNA", at positions 1 to 908 of the family's 1533-position model. The record is from RNAcentral.
CUAUUUUAUGGUACUGCUGUGUCUGGCUAGGAUAACGCUGGCGGCGUGCCUAACACAUGCAAGUCGAACGCCCUGCGUCUCGCAAGAGAGGCAGGGAGUGGCGGACGGGUGAGUAACACAUGGGUGACCUACCCCGCAGUGAGGGAUACCGGCGAGAAAUCGCCGACAAGCCCGCAUGGGGUCUCUUGGGUAGAGCCAAGAGAGCAAAGUCUCGCAAGAGGCGCUGCGGGAUGGGCCUGUGGCCGAUUAGCUGGUUGGGGGGGUAAGAGCCUCCCAAGGCGACGAUCGGUAGCUGGUCUGAGAGGACGAUCAGCCACACUGGGAUUGAGAACGGCCCAGACUCCUACGGGGGGCAGCAGUGAGGAAUUUUCCGCAAUGGACGCAAGUCUGACGGAGCAACGCCGCGUGCAGGAAGACGCUUUUCGGAGUGUAAACUGCUUUUCUGUGGGACGAGCAAGGACGGUACCACAGGAAGAAGCCCCGGCUAACUACGUGCCAGCAGCCGCGGUAAUACGUAGGGGGCGAGCGUUGUCCGGAGUUACUGGGCGUAAAGGGCAUGCAGGCGGUCGGACGCGUUUCGGCUGACAGCGGGUGGCUUCACUACCCGAGUGGUCGAAAGACGGUUUGACUUGAGGACGCGAGAGGGACACGGAAUUCCGGGUGGAGUGGUGAAAUGCGUAGAGAUCCGGAGGAACACCGAAAGCGAAGGCAGUGUCCUGGCGCGUAACUGACGCUGAGGUGCGAAGGCCAGGGAGCGAACGGGAUUAGAUACCCCGGUAGUCCUGGCGUAACGAUGACACAGUGUGGGAGUAUCGACCUCGUGCGAGUACAACUAGUGUCGCUGGGGAGUACGUCGCAGGCUGAACUCAGGGAA